ACGACCAUACCCACUGGAAAACUCGGGAUCCCGUCCGCUCUCCCAUAGAUAAGCCAGUGAGGGCUGGAGUAGUAGUCGGGUCGGUGACGACCGGCGAAUGCCCGGUGUUGUAUGUU
This 116-nucleotide ribosomal RNA is filed under the name Colletotrichum fructicola Nara gc5. The record is from RNAcentral. Lineage: Eukaryota; Fungi; Ascomycota; Sordariomycetes; Glomerellales; Glomerellaceae.